This is a long non-coding RNA of Brassica oleracea var. oleracea, 438 nucleotides long. RefSeq lists it as uncharacterized. The record is from RefSeq and is a predicted model, not a curated record. Lineage: Eukaryota; Viridiplantae; Streptophyta; Magnoliopsida; Brassicales; Brassicaceae. The transcript is spliced from 3 exons.
AAAAUUCAGAUGCCAAGAACGUUGCAAGUUCCACUGAGAGAGAAGAGCUAUCGUUGAUAUAUAUAGAGUUCUUGGGCCUUUUUGGAGAUGUCAAGACCAUCAAAAAGGCAGAAGAUCAACACGCUAAACUCUUUCGUCGGAGCACGUCAGAGCUGAGAAAGCGUAGCGCAGAUGACUUUCUAUCUUCUGAUAGGACUAAAAUGGCGAAAACUUACAACAGAACUCUUCCUGCUCAGCCAGUGUCUGCACAAGCUCAGUGGUCUGGUGGAUACGCUGCACAGCCUCAGGCUUGUCCACAAGCACAAGCCGCUCCUGCAUAACCACAGCAAUGGAACCCCGCCUAUGGCCAGCAGGCUGCGUAUGGUGCAUAUCCCGCUGGUUAUACUGCUCCACAAGCACCAGCACCCGGCCCACAAGCUGCUGCUUAUGGCGUAUAUC